UACGUAGGGGGCAAGCGUUGUCCGGAUUUAUUGGGCGUAAAGAGCGUGUAGGCGGCCAUGUAGGUCCGUUGUGAAAACUCGAGGCUCAACCUCGAGACGCCGAUGGAAACCAUGUGCCUAGAGUCCGGAAGAGGAGAGUGGAAUUCCUGGUGUAGCGGUGAAAUGCGCAGAUAUCAGGAAGAACACCCGUGGCUAAGGCGGCUCUCUAGUACGGUACUGACGCUGAGACGCGAAAGCGUGGGGAGCAAACAGG
This 253-nucleotide ribosomal RNA is filed under the name uncultured bacterium. RNAcentral's name for it is "partial 16S ribosomal RNA". It matches the Rfam family "Bacterial small subunit ribosomal RNA", at positions 524 to 776 of the family's 1533-position model. The record is from RNAcentral.